Long non-coding RNA from Salvia splendens (bonfire salvia), 432 nucleotides. RefSeq lists it as uncharacterized. NCBI's taxonomy places the organism in Eukaryota, Viridiplantae, Streptophyta, Magnoliopsida, Lamiales, Lamiaceae. The record is from RefSeq and is a predicted model, not a curated record. The transcript has 3 exons.
CAUGAACUUCACGACAAGUUCCUCCAGCAUGGUCUGAACUCAGGGAUUGGACAAAGAAGACAUGCUAUUUAAGCUAUACAGUUCUGUAAGUGCUCAAAGCAUGGAAAGAAUAGAAGAGCUUCUCCAGGAGGACCAGAAUGUCAAGCGGAGGAAAGAGCGUAUCCAGAAACAGUCCUCUAUUCUUUCCAAGCUUACUACACAACUCUGUAUUAAUGAUAAUCUGGCAGCCGCUGCAUCCACCUAUUCCAAUGAAGAAAGUUCAACCAUUGCUGGCCCAUCUUCCCGGGAGCUCUGGAGAUGCUACGUUUGAUGCUGCUGCCAGCGGUCCAAACCUAUCAUAUGGGGAUUCUAGAUCAAAUUGUCUCAGUCGCCGGAACAGUGAUCCUUUUCAUAAUGGUGAUAUAAACCCUGGUGCCGACGAACACCCUAGCA